This 420-nucleotide ribosomal RNA is filed under the name uncultured bacterium. RNAcentral's name for it is "bacterial SSU rRNA". It matches the Rfam family "Bacterial small subunit ribosomal RNA", at positions 917 to 1341 of the family's 1533-position model. The record is from RNAcentral.
GGGCCCGCACAAGCGGUGGAGCAUGUGGUUUAAUUCGAUGCAACGCGAAGAACCUUACCAGGGCUUGACAUACUGCGAAUCUACUUGAAAGAGAAGAGUGCCUUCGGGAAUGCAGAUACAGGUGGUGCAUGGCUGUCGUCAGCUCGUGUCGUGAGAUGUUGGGUUAAGUCCCGCAACGAGCGCAACCCUUGUUUUUAGUUACCAAUUCGUUGGGUUUUCUAGAAAGACUGCCGGUGACAAACCGGAGGAAGGUGAGGAUGACGUCAAGUCAGCAUGCCCCUUAUGUCCUGGGCUACACACGUGCUACAAUGGUUAAGACAACGAGUUGCAAAUCUGCAAAGAUAAGCUAAUCUCUUAAACUUAGCCGAAGUUCAGAUUGUAGGCUGCAACUCGCCUACAUGAAGUUGGAAUCGCUAGUAA